RNAcentral lists this unclassified non-coding RNA (343 nucleotides) under uncultured Sistotremastrum. Its description in RNAcentral is "sequence contains ITS1". The stretch from base 1 to 105 matches the Rfam family "5.8S ribosomal RNA", at positions 50 to 154 of the family's 154-position model. The record is from RNAcentral. Lineage: Eukaryota; Fungi; Basidiomycota; Agaricomycetes; Trechisporales.
GAAAUGCGAUAAGUAAUGUGAAUUGCAGAAUUCAGUGAAUCAUCGAAUCUUUGAACGCACCUUGCGCUCCUUGGUAUUCCGAGGAGCAUGCCUGUUUGAGUGUCAUGAUAAUCUCAAAUCAACAUUUUAGUUAAUCUAAUUUGUUGACUUGGACUUGGAGGUUGUGCUGAUUUUAUUAUUGGCUCCUCUUAAAUGCAUUAGCUGGAUUACUAUCAGUAAUAGUCCAUGGUGUUGUAAUCUCGGCGCUGUGACUUAACUAAUACAAUCUGCUUCUAAAAUAGUUGCCUUUGGCAAUAUUUGCAAACUUGACCUCAAAUCAGGUAGGAAUACCCGCUGAACUUAA